UACGUAGGGGCCAAGCGUUGUCCGGAUUUAUUGGGCGUAAAGAGCUCGUAGGCGGUUCGGCAAGUCAGCUGUGAAAUCUCCACGCUCAACGUGGAGGGGUCAGCUGAUACUGCUGUGACUUGAGUCCGGUAGGGGAGUGUGGAAUUCCCGGUGUAGCGGUGAAAUGCGCAGAUAUCGGGAGGAACACCUGUGGCGAAAGCGGCUCACUGGACCACAACUGACGCUGAUGCGCGAAAGCUAGGGGAGCAAACAGG
Molecule: ribosomal RNA, 254 nt
Filed under: uncultured bacterium
Lineage: Bacteria
Description: partial 16S ribosomal RNA
Rfam family: Bacterial small subunit ribosomal RNA
Source: RNAcentral